CAUGCAAGUCGAACGAUGAAGCCCUUCGGGGUGGAUUAGUGGCGAACGGGUGAGUAACACGUGGGCAAUCUGCCCUUCACUCUGGGACAAGCCCUGGAAACGGGGUCUAAUACCGGAUAACACCUGCCCGGGCAUCCGGGUGGGUUAAAAGCUCCGGCGGUGAAGGAUGAGCCCGCGGCCUAUCAGCUUGUUGGUGAGGUAGUGGCUCACCAAGGCGACGACGGGUAGCCGGCCUGAGAGGGCGACCGGCCACACUGGGACUGAGACACGGCCCAGACUCCUACGGGAGGCAGCAGUGGGGAAUAUUGCACAAUGGGCGAAAGCCUGAUGCAGCGACGCCGCGUGAGGGAUGACGGCCUUCGGGUUGUAAACCUCUUUCAGCAGGGAAGAAGCGAAAGUGACGGUACCUGCAGAAGAAGCGCCGGCUAACUACGUGCCAGCAGCCGCGGUAAUACGUAGGGCGCAAGCGUUGUCCGGAAUUAUUGGGCGUAAAGAGCUCGUAGGCGGCUUGUCACGUCGGGUGUGAAAGCCCGGGGCUUAACCCCGGGUCUGCAUUCGAUACGGGCUAGCUAGAGUGUGGUAGGGGAGAUCGGAAUUCCUGGUGUAGCGGUGAAAUGCGCAGAUAUCAGGAGGAACACCGGUGGCGAAGGCGGAUCUCUGGGCCAUUACUGACGCUGAGGAGCGAAAGCGUGGGGAGCGAACAGGAUUA
This 709-nucleotide ribosomal RNA is filed under the name Streptomyces sp. YIM 56085. RNAcentral describes it as "bacterial SSU rRNA". It matches the Rfam family "Bacterial small subunit ribosomal RNA", at positions 54 to 780 of the family's 1533-position model. The record is from RNAcentral. Lineage: Bacteria; Bacillati; Actinomycetota; Actinomycetes; Kitasatosporales; Streptomycetaceae.